Molecule: ribosomal RNA, 465 nt
Filed under: Vreelandella stevensii
Lineage: Bacteria; Pseudomonadati; Pseudomonadota; Gammaproteobacteria; Oceanospirillales; Halomonadaceae
Description: partial 16S ribosomal RNA
Rfam family: Bacterial small subunit ribosomal RNA
Source: RNAcentral
CCUACGGGGGGCAGCAGUGGGGAAUAUUGGACAAUGGGCGAAAGCCUGAUCCAGCCAUGCCGCGUGUGUGAAGAAGGCCUUCGGGUUGUAAAGCACUUUCAGUGGGGAAGAAAGCCUUGGGGCUAAUACCCUCGAGGAAGGACAUCACCCACAGAAGAAGCACCGGCUAACUCCGUGCCAGCAGCCGCGGUAAUACGGAGGGUGCGAGCGUUAAUCGGAAUUACUGGGCGGAAAGCGCGCGUAGGCGGUCUGAUAAGCCGGUUGUGAAAGCCCCGGGCUCAACCUGGGAACGGCAUCCGGAACUGUCAGGCUAGAGUGCAGGAGAGGAAGGUAGAAUUCCCGGUGUAGCGGUGAAAUGCGUAGAGAUCGGGAGGAAUACCAGUGGCGAAGGCGGCCUUCUGGACUGACACUGACGCUGAGGUGCGAAAGCGUGGGUAGCAAACAGGAUUAGAUACCCGAGUAGUC